RNAcentral lists this RNase P RNA (489 nucleotides) under Candidatus Scalindua rubra. Its description in RNAcentral is "Bacterial RNase P class A". It matches the Rfam family "Bacterial RNase P class A". From Rfam's summary of the family: Ribonuclease P (RNase P) is a ubiquitous endoribonuclease, found in archaea, bacteria and eukarya as well as chloroplasts and mitochondria. Its best characterised activity is the generation of mature 5'-ends of tRNAs by cleaving the 5'-leader elements of precursor-tRNAs. The record is from Rfam by way of RNAcentral. Lineage: Bacteria; Pseudomonadati; Planctomycetota; Candidatus Brocadiia; Candidatus Brocadiales; Candidatus Scalinduaceae.
GAAGUGGGCGAGAUGACCGCUUCAGACUGCCUGUAUUAAAUUUAAAAUGGUAGAUUUGAAGAGGAAAGUCCGAGCUCCAUAGGAUACAGUGCUCCGUAACGCGGAGUGGGAGUGAUCCCGAGGAAAGUGCCACAGAAAAUAUACCGCCCCGCUUCUUGCUGUUCUCCCUGUGCUUUCUUGCCGAAAGUAGGCUCUGUAACCGAAAGUAGGCCCCUUUAGGGGGAGCGAAAGCAAGAACAGGGAUGAAGCAAGAAAGCAGCGGGGUAAGGGUGAAAAGGUGGGGCCCAAUUAUGGGCUUAAUGUAAGAGCCCACCGCUUUCUGAGUGAUUAGAGAGGCAUGGCAAACCCCACUGGGAGAAAGGCUAAAUAAAGAGGAAUAAAGUGAUCCGCUUUUUAAACCUCUGGGUAGGCCGAUUGAUUCCGAUGGCAACAUCAGAACUAGAUUAAUGGUCAUCAAGAACAGAACUCGGCUUAUUGCCUGCUUCUGAU